CCAGAGAAUUUAGCAGAGAUGCUUUAGUGCCUUCGGGAACUCUGAGACAGGUGCUGCAUGGCUGUCGUCAGCUCGUGUUGUGAAAUGUUGGGUUAAGUCCCGCAACGAGCGCAACCCUUAUCCUUUGUUGCCAGCACGUAUGGUGGGAACUCAAAGGAGACUGCCGGUGAUAAACCGGAGGAAGGUGGGGAUGACGUCAAGUCAUCAUGGCCCUUAUGAGUAGGGCUACACACGUGCUACAAUGGCGCAUACAAAGAGAAGCGACCUCGCGAGAGCAAGCGGACCUCAUAAAGUGCGUCGUAGUCCGGAUUGGAGUCUGCAACUCGACUCCAUGAAGUCGGAAUCGCUAGUAAUCGUAAAUCAGAAUGUUACGGUGAAUACGUUCCCGGGCCUUGUACACACCGCCCGUCACACCAUGGGAGUGGGUUGCAAAAGAAGUAGAUAGCUUAACCUUCGGGAGGGCGUUUACCACUUUGUGAUUCAUGACUGGGGUGAAGUCGUAACAAGGUAAGCGUAGUGCU
This 521-nucleotide ribosomal RNA is filed under the name uncultured bacterium. RNAcentral describes it as "bacterial SSU rRNA". It matches the Rfam family "Bacterial small subunit ribosomal RNA", at positions 988 to 1509 of the family's 1533-position model. The record is from RNAcentral.